GCGAAUGGGUUCUGGUUUAAGGGAUCUUGGGAGAAAGGUAACGGCACUUAUUCUUUCCUUGCUUUUCUCCAGAAAGGGAUUUCUAGACUUGGGCAUGGAGAGAAAAGGCAUGGGGCAGAGAAAGUCUCCUUCAGGCGGCUAAUUUUGGACCUGGCCUCUGGAACCUGGUCUUAGCCUGGACUAAGAGGCCUUCACCUUUUUUUCUGCUCCAUGUCAGCAGCCUCUAGCCCCCACCCAAAGGCUGUCAGCGCCUCUGAUCUCACUCUCAGCCCUGCCUUUGACCCUCACCCCGGUGGAAGCCCCAGGAGCCAAAGGGAGCCAAAAGACAGGGAUAAAGCCGAAGGGGAGAGAAAUAUAUAGUUUUUUUCUCCACUGUCUCCCCCAUAUACAAGAAAGAAAAUAAAAGUAAUUACUGUUGACAAUGGGGAGGAAGAACUGCCCAUAAAUGAAGAAGUUGGGAGGAUGGGAAGGGAGAGUAAGAAGAGAGUAUCCCUUUUGCUUGCCUCCCCCUGCCCCCAGCCUAGAGUGGAAACGGAGGCUUGAAGCCCCCAGGGUGGUUAGGUGUACCUCCUCGAUCAAAUGAUCAGACUUUGAGCUGUCUGAACUGAGAUGAUCAAGGUCUUCUGAUCCCUGCAAAGAUGGCUCCCGGAUUGGAGGGGGGCGGGGAUGGGGAAAUCUCUUCCAGGGAAAACUGGCCCGGCUCUAUGACCCUUCUAAUGUCUGCUCCUCAGAGAGCCUCUCAAUCCCAGCGAGCAACGAAAAUGGGUCCCAAUGCCCAGAAAUUCCAGGCCGUUGGUUCUUUUUGGUUUUAUUCUCGAAAGGGAAAGGCCCGAUGGGGGCAGGGGAACAGCAAGUGUCGAAGAGGCCGGAAUUUCGGACGAGCGGGGUGACAGAAGGGGAAAUUCCCGGAGCUUGGGCUCGGUCCUCUGGCUCCCCCUUGAAGAAGGUGACCCCGCAAAGCAGAAUUUCUUGUCUUCUCUGAGAUAGGAGGCCCCGAAGCUAACCCAAGAAAAGACAAGUUCCAUUUCUAACCAGCUUUUCUAUUGUUAAUAAGUUUAACCCCCCCAGUCCUCAGCGUAUUCAAAGUCCCCGUGUUCUGGGAAGCUUAGCCCAGACCCUUCACCGGAGGACAGAUUUGGAAUAGGCUAAUGGAGCAAGACAGGGAGAGGGCUAAGGGCUAAUCCAACUGGGGGCUCCCUGACCCCAACGGGGCCAGGCCAAGCAAGCCAGUAGAGGAGGAAGUAAGAGCGGCAAGUCAGAAUAGAGACCCAGGCCCCAGAUCUUCCGGGCCACUUGUCUGAUUUCUCUUUCGGGAGCAGGAAAAAAAAGAAGGGCAGUCAUAUAUCCAGGGAAGUGGGCAUCCUGCAGCUCUGGGGCUCUGUCCUUCAACUUUGUCUGUAAAGGUCAAGAUGGUUGAGAGAGCUAAGAUUCUUCCAUGGACGAUUAUCUGCAUAAGUGCAAAUGGGUGUGUGGCUAAUUUUUGGGGGACGGUAAGAAAUCUUGUGGGAUUGAUGAGCUUACACUCUUUAGAUUUGUGAUCUUCGACAGCAGUCUGGGGGCUUUCCAGGGAAGCAGUGCAAAGGAUCCCAGGUAUCCUGGAAUUUGGGGAAAAUUCUUACUAGAAUGGAUUUUGAGAUGCUAGUUGAGCACAGGCAAGACUGGAUUUUAGUUUAGUCUGGUUGGGGACAGCUUCUCUGCAUGCAGAAGGGAAAGAGUCUCCUCGGAGGUGUCCCCUGAGACCUGGGGGUAGUGGGGGGAGAGACCUCCAGUCUUGUUAUCAGCUCACUUUUAAGCAAAGAAGGAGACAGGUGACGGUAGCUGGUGAAAAGGAAGCUGGGGAGAAAAUUUUGGACGCAGGUGGGGCAAACACCCCACGUGUUUUCCAUCCUCCACAAUACCAAAAUUCAUUGUGGUGCCCCCUUCCCUUCCCCCCCCGUUCUGGGCGACUUGGGUGGGAGUGAGGAAGUAGAGUGAAAAACGGGUGAAGAGUUGUAGUUUUUCCGACACCAAAAAAGCUUAAUUGUGGUUUUCAAAGAGUCCUUGAGAUUCAGGAGCCCACCCGGCUGGCUGGAGACCACCGGUAUCCCCGCAGGAUUCCCCUAACUUUCCUGGUCUCUUUUCCCCUAUUUCUGCUCCCUCUCCUCCUUCUCUUGGAGAACAGCCCCCAACGAAUCUUUAUAUCUGUGGUGGCCGCAAAAACCUGCCGUAGGAAGAAAAAAACCCCCAAAAAACAACCCGGAUAGGUUUCGUUGACCUGCUUAAUGCAAACUAAAACCAGUUUUCGAUUGGCGAGUUCCAGAGGACGAGGGCUUCAGCCGGGCCCCAGCACCUUCCCGAAAGAUAAUUGGCCCACCUGCUAUGGGACCUGGAGACCUCCUGCUUACCGCGGUCUACAAGAGCUUUGUAACAGUAAUUUCUGCCCAAAGGAGACUUAAAACAAAAAACAAAAAACAAAAAUCCAAAACGAGUAAAAACUAAAAUGAGCAUUUCUGGCAGAACCCAGUCUGGCUCUGCCCGACAUCAGCUGCCCGAGGAUCUGAAGAUUUGGCUUUUAAGGGUAAUCACCAGUAAGUAACUGGUAAAGCUCUUUGCUGCGUCUCCUCGCGAUGCAAAGUGGUCCCAGUAGCCGGAAGGGAAGGGAAGGAGAGGACAGGACAGGACAGAAAAGAAAUAGGAGUCAGCUUCUCUUCUUUCUCAGAGUGGGGGUCAAGGGGAGGGGGUGAACAGCCUGGUCGAAUCUUGGCGAGACGGCCUUGAGCUUCAGCAGCUUUGCCCUUUUAAUUAGCGCCAACUACCUUCUAUCCGCAGCCCUCGGGCUCCGGUGCUCUUCCCCCUCACCCCGGACUUUUUAGAUGUACCAACUCCAUCCCGGGGCCAGGGUUGGGGUCUUCAAGCCUCGAAGAUCCCAAGACCCAGAGGGACAGAGAAAGGAGCCGUGGUCCCGGCGGGCGGGACCUUCUUGGCCACGCACCGAGGUAACAAGGUUGUAUAAAUCGUUGCUUACCCUCCCACCUCCCUCCUUUUGCAUGUCUUUAAGAGUCACUGGAACCUGAGUGGAGAGGUUUGGCAAUUGCCAUCUUUAUAGAGACCGAGGUGGAAGUGGUGGUGGUGAAGGUGGGGGAUCAGAGACAUUUCUGCCUUCCAAGGAUUUAGGGGCUUCGCGCUGGAUUGGGAACUCCGAAACCAAAAAGAAGGGAAAGGAUGACCCAGCUGAUUUUAGACCCGGGGAAGAGCUGUGCUAAUUCACUCGCUGGACUUCACCUGCAGUCUGUGCAAGGAGAGAUCGGAGUGAGAUCCGUCUUACUCAGUCUACACUCGGACAAAGGCGUCUCGGAUGGCGCCUGCUGCCCUCACUAGAUUUUCCGGUUCCCCUCGGGCUGCCUCAGAACGUGGUGUGGGGACGGGGGCAGGUGUGAGCCAGAGGGACAUCGCGCUCUCCCAGGUAGCUCUCCGGGCCGAAGCUGUUGGCCGGCACGUGGCAGGAGCUUUCUUCUGGGAGUCGAGCCGAGUGCAGGCUCCUUCUGCGACUCCCUGGGUCAGCCCCUGGCCAAAGGCCGCCACUCUAAAGCCUGUCAGACGGCUCCAAGUUCGGGGACCAGCCAGCCAGUGUGCAGAGGAACUCGCGGGUCCCAGGAGCCUGGCGGGCUCUAUCUCCCAUGGGGGGUAGGAAUGAGCACCGUUGCUUUUGACAUUCACUCUCCUGGUGGGGAUUGUAAAGCUCAGACGCUCCUCCCCUCCCCCCAAGACUGGACGCCCCGUCGGGGCUUCGCAGGGCCGGAUUUCUCUUGGCCCAGUGCAAAUUGUAUCGAGCUGACAAACUGACUAGUCACGAACGGAAUUUAGGGAGAUGAAAACGGAAAGUUGGACCCCUUAUCCCACUUGAGACUUGAUAAUGAUGGUGAUGAUGAUGAUGAUGAUGAUGAUGUUAAGCUCUGCCAGCCUGGCUGGUUAGAAUGAGCCAGCAGCUGAGGGAAGCAAUAAAGGGAGAGGAAAUUUCUGCUCUGCACCCGGGGGGAAUCGUCCUGUUUGGGGAAAUCGUGGAGAAAUCACCGCUCUGGGGACAAUGGUGUAGGCUGGAGAGGGGGGACUGAGGAGAGGUGGACAGGACGCCGGCCCAGACCGAGGCACGCACAGUCAACUGUUUUCCCGAGACAAAGACUGCAGAAACGCAAUGCACAAAGAGAGACAUACAGACAUAAUAAAGUCACACACCCCAAUAGACACAAACACACAGGCGGCGGACACACACAGAGACGUACACUACGAGCCUACGGACGCACAAUGCAGAUACUCCCAGCCAUACAACAGGCACACGUACACACCCCGAAGACACGCGCUACUCCCGACACAAGUUGGCGGAUUGGCACGGGGGCGCCCAAGCAAACUAUCUGCAUACCCCAGACACAGUUGCCACACGUAUACUAGAACUACACAACACGGAGCUUUACAUACGGCGCGGACACACACCCACCACAAACAGGCACACUACAUACAUGCAACGGACACAACAUGCAGACCUCAAAGACACGCCCACACUCAAAAGCACGUUUGAAUUUCUCUCUUGAGAGAUUUCAACGAAGCCAAACCUCUAGGAAAGUCUCUCUCUCUCUGCAACUUGGAAGAGAAGGGUUGGACAGCUCUCCGUGGAGUCCCAGUCUCAUACCCCCAAACCCACUCCACGAGCCCGUCCGCCCAGCUUGCCCUUUAACCUCUGUCCCUUGGGUGUCUUUAUUUUGGGGAAUACGUUCCUAAAUUGCUGCUACCUCCAAGGCUUGCGAAUCCAAACGAAUCGAUUUUCCUUAUAGAUUAAAAAAAAGAAAAGAAAAUGUGUGACAGAGACAGAGAGAGACAGACAGAGAGAGAGAGAGAGAGAGAGAGAAGAGAAUGAGAAUAUGAAUAAUCUUCCCUUUCUCAGACUUAAAAGAAUUAACUUCUAGCUCAGCUUUUAGAAUCAGUCAUAGAAGAAGCUACCGAAGAGAAUCCAUAUCAUAACCGAGAGAGCGCCCUUGGUCUGCAUCCCGACUCUGAUACCUAUUUUAUCCUUGGGAACGAACCUCAGUUUCCUUUCUUUGUAAAAUGGGGCUGUUAUGUGUAAUGCUCAUUUAACAAUGUGACUGUGAGACAAACACAGUCCUAGCUGUCAAGCUUUUGGUAAAUCUUAAAGCGUAAUAGAAAAGCAAGUUAUUGAGACUGAAGUUUUGUCCAAAGAUCGAUAGACCUCCUCUCCAAUCGGGUGGACUAGCCCAAAGCCAGUGGACUGCGUGACUUUCCGAUUCAGAGAACAAUUGAAUUGGACGGGAAUAUUUUAUUUUUACAGCAUUUCGUUUGCCUGCGUUUCUAGAGUAUGGUGGCUCCAUCCAGGAAGCUCCAAGCGCUCUCCAAUUUUUAAUAUCAGAGGAUUUAGAAAAUAAAAUAAAACCAAAAAAGGGGAUCCACACCUGUGGAACUAGAGCUGUAGAGCCCCUGCGGGCUAUCUUCUCCUGCCCUCUGGCUAGGUGCUAGAUUUGAUUGUCUUCCUCCUUCCUCUCCUCACCUGCCCCCUCCUCAGUAGCUAUCCACCUCCAACUUUUCCUAGAGAGCGCAAAGUCAGCUAACCAACGAGCACUCGAGCCUCUCUGCUCUCCCCACUGUGGAAUUUUCUCAGUCUCCAAGACUCAGCGGGUUCUAGCUUGCAUUUGUGUUUAUCGCAGGCAAGACCAAAUGCAUCUCCAGCGGCGCCUUUUAGCUCAGUCUCCCCAGCCAUUCCCGAACCUAGCGGGCUAGGCCAGGUACUCAGGAGCCCGUGCAGGCAAACGAAGUCCCGGCAAGUCUUUGAGGUUAGCUUAGGCUCCCUUGACAGGAAGCGACCUGGGAGACUAACUUUCUCUGUUUCUGUGCAGCUCAACCCAGCUCCCAGAGCACCUCGCAAACGUAACCUCAGCUAAGCUUUCCCAUAUUCUGAGGAGGUGGGCAGGGCAGGGCAGAAAUGAUGUUCCCCAUUUGGCAGUGGGGAAAACUGAGGCCCAGAGGGCACCUGACUUGCUUAAGGUCACAAAUUAGAGAUGGAGCCGGGAAGAGAAUUCAGAUUAACAUAAAAAGUUUCAAGGGACUUGAGAAGUCGUCUGGACCAAGCCUCUCGUUGUACAGAUGAGGAAACAGAGAUCGAGAGAGGUUACCCAGCAGUGAGAGAUUGACAUUAGAACCAGAUCCCUCUGCCAAUAAAUCCAGUACAUUUUCUGCAUUUCUCUCUUGGCUCUUUUUAAAAUAAUAAACAAAGGUAACUUCAAUUGUUGACUGGUCCCCUGGAGAUGUGUGUGUGUGUAUGUGUAUGUGUGUAUUUCCACUUGUCCCUACUUUUCCACGAAAACAUGUAAGGUGCCCCUUUACCUCUCCCGGAAUCAAAAAGAGGCUGGGACGCGAGUGAGUUAUUGUUAAUCCCAGCAUCCCCACCUCAGCCUAGCCUUUGUCUUCCAAGACUCCCAGGAGCCUGGUGAGCAGCCGCAUUGGGCAUCAGAAGAAUUCAGGAGUCCUAGAGUCUAGUAAAGAGAUGAGGGGAUGGUGAGCGCUUUAUCCGUUCCUGUUUAGUGGUUUUGAGGUGUGAUGUACGUAGAGGGAGAUCUGGUCCGGAAGAAGGUCGCCAGAGGCAGGAUAGAAAGUAAUGAGGGGGCCGACUUAUCCUCUCCCCCUUUUCUUCAGCAGACAGUCAUUAACGACGUUGCCUAUCCCAAUGAUCACUGUAGGGUCCGAGACCUCCGAGGCAGAAAGCCCACUAGCCCCAUCCCAUGGAGGUGGGACGUGAAAGCCUGGGGCAGUCCAGUUUCCGGGAGCACAGUGUAGAGAAUCUCGCCUGACCGAGACCCAGAAUCUUCAGCCAAUGGGCAACCUAGCGAGUUGCCAAACGAUCGGGAAAGUGGU
This 6894-nucleotide long non-coding RNA is filed under the name Sarcophilus harrisii (Tasmanian devil). Its description in RNAcentral is "lncRNA (ENSSHAG00000027702.1)". Lineage: Eukaryota; Metazoa; Chordata; Mammalia; Dasyuromorphia; Dasyuridae. The record is from RNAcentral.